CCCUUAGAUGUUCUGGGCCGCACGCGCGCUACACUGAUGCAUUCAACGAGCACCCGCUGGGCCGAGAGGUCCGGCUAAUCUUUGAACGUGCAUCGUGCUGGGGAUAGAUGAUUGCAAUUAUUCAUCUUCAACGAGGAAUUCCUAGUAAACGCAAGUCAUCAGCUUGCAUUGAUUACGUCCCUGCCCUUUGUACACACCGCCCGUCGCACCUACCGAUUGAAUGGUCCGGUGAAGCCUCCGGAUUGGCGUGCACCCUCGGGUGCUGCCGAGAAGUUGGCUAAACCUUACCAUUUAGAGGAAGGUGAAGUCGUAACA
Molecule: ribosomal RNA, 315 nt
Filed under: uncultured eukaryote
Lineage: Eukaryota
Description: partial 18S ribosomal RNA
Rfam family: Eukaryotic small subunit ribosomal RNA
Source: RNAcentral